This 300-nucleotide long non-coding RNA is filed under the name Brachypodium distachyon (stiff brome). RNAcentral describes it as "long non-coding RNA (BDIS_LNC004104)". The record is from RNAcentral. Lineage: Eukaryota; Viridiplantae; Streptophyta; Magnoliopsida; Poales; Poaceae.
CGUCGUCACCGGAGAAAGAAGUUUAAGGCCUUAAGGGACAACGUGAGCCAUCUUCAAUCUUCAAUUCUUUAUGCUAGUUUCCAAUAUGUAAAUUUAUUUAGUCUCGUUCGAUUUCCUUGUUAGUUUUUGUUAAUGAAAUCUAUUACUAUCUAUUAAAUUGGAGUUGGUGAUGACGGACGGCAGGUUUUUUAAUCAAAAUUAUGAGUAUGCCAUCGAGAUACCACCGUGCGUUAGAAAAACACCCAAACGUUUUUUUUUUCUUUUCCCCUCCACACGCUCAGCUGUGCCGCCACGACCAUG